GUGCCAGCCGCCGCGGUAAUACGUAGGUGGCAAGCGUUACUCGGAAUCACUAGGCGUAAAGCGCAGGUAGGCGGUUUGAUAAGUCUGUUGUGAAAGCUCCCGGCUUAACUGGGAGAGGCCAACGGAAACUGUCAGGCUAGAGUGUGGUAGAGGAAGAUGGAAUUCCCGGUGUAGCGGUGAAAUGCGUAGAUAUCGGGAGGAAUACCUAUGGCGAAAGCAGUCUUCUGGACCAUCACUGACGCUGAUCUGCGAAAGCUAGGGGAGCAAACAGGAUUAGAAACCCCCGUAGUCC
This 292-nucleotide ribosomal RNA is filed under the name uncultured bacterium. RNAcentral describes it as "partial 16S ribosomal RNA". It matches the Rfam family "Bacterial small subunit ribosomal RNA", at positions 505 to 796 of the family's 1533-position model. The record is from RNAcentral.